This 482-nucleotide ribosomal RNA is filed under the name Ornithoptera priamus. Its description in RNAcentral is "partial 16S ribosomal RNA". The record is from RNAcentral. Lineage: Eukaryota; Metazoa; Arthropoda; Insecta; Lepidoptera; Papilionidae.
UUUUUGUGAAUAAUUUAAAGUCUAGUCUGCCCACUGAAAAAUUUAAAGGGCUGCAGUAUUUUGACUGUACAAAGGUAGCAUAAUCAUUUGUCUCUUAAUUGGUGACUUGUAUGAAAGAUUGGAUGAAAUAUAUACUGUCUCAUUAUAAUUAAUAAAAUUUAAUUUUUUAGUUAAAAAGCUAAGAUGAUUUUAAAAGACGAGAAGACCCUAUAGAGUUUGAUAAUUAUUAUUAUAUUAGGAUAAUGUAAAAUUUUAAAUUAAAAUAAUGAUAAUUAUUUUGUUGGGGUGACAAAAAAAUAAAAUAAACUUUUUUUAAAUAAUUUACAUAUAUAAAUGAAUAAAUGAUCCAUUUUUAAUGAUUAAAAGAAAAAAUUACCUUAGGGAUAACAGCGUAAUUUUUUUUUUUAGGCCUAAUAAGAAAAAGAGUUUGCGACCUCGAUGUUGGAUUAAGAUAAAAUUUAAAUGCAAAAGUUUAAAAUUUU